This 4047-nucleotide long non-coding RNA is filed under the name Hordeum vulgare. Its description in RNAcentral is "long non-coding RNA (HVUL_LNC012992)". Lineage: Eukaryota; Viridiplantae; Streptophyta; Magnoliopsida; Poales; Poaceae. The record is from RNAcentral.
UGUAGGGUGCCAGCAACCAAAUGAACAGAUUAUGACAUGAAUUAGUUUCUUGGUACAUAGCAGCUGAUAACUUGCAAGCGCACAUGGUUCAGUUGUUGCCUUUUCAAAGUAAGAGUAUCGAUUCAAGAGGAAGCACAUGAAUCAAAUUUUUGCCUCUUGUAGAGAAUUACAUAUUCGAAAUUGCUUCACGUAUGAUGUUUUACGUCCGAUAACUGUACGACACUUCCGUUAUUUCAGCCCCGUCGUGACCCAUGGUCCAGCCCAAACCCAAAACCCUUUAUUUGCCCUAGCCCCACUAGAACUUAUCCACGUUUCCACCUCUUCCAUCUGUAACUUUCCAUGCCUCUUGCUAUUCCCUCCAAAGCGCGACGGCUCAUCUUCAGUCCGAUCUCUUCCUUGCUGAUCUGCAAUUUCAUCUCCUUCACAUGUGAUCUGCAACACCACAAAGAAGAUUAUUUAGUGGGACAAAACAAUCAGGUCCAGCCAAUAUUUUGAGGUGAGUUUUUUUACAUUGUCGGGAUCAAAUCUGUUUCAUACCAUCUUCUUCAUGAGUUCUUCAUGCUGAUCUACAAAUCCGUCUCUUCAAGUGAAAUCUGCACCACUACAGAGAGCGCAAACAAACAAAUCUGCACCACACCGAGAGGGAAAAUAAUCAGGAGUUGCCAACAAUCAAAGGUGUGUAUCUUUAGCCUUUUUUGGAUCAUAAUUGUUCUAGAUUAUUUCAGUUUAUCCGGGUGUAUGCUCAAUGAUAUGUUCUUAUUGUUGGCAAUUUACAGAGGUGAUGGCGUCAAAUUUAACUUCUGAUGAAGUGGCAGAACAGAACAUGGUAUUUCAAGAGGAUGAUGAUGUUUUCAUUGCUGAGGAGAUUGGGGAUUCUUUGGGUGACCAAGAAGUAGAACAAGUCAUGACGUUGGAACCUAAGAAGGGUCUCAUGUUUGAUAGUGAGGAUGAUGUUGUUAGGUUCUACAAAGGUUAUGCAAAAAAGAAGGGCUUUGGUGUAGUAAGAAGAACUGCUAGAUAUGAUGAAGACAACAAACUUCAUUAUUUCACCCUUGCUUGUAGUAGACAAGGGAAGGCUCAAUACUCAUCAAAGAACUCAUUUAAACCUAAUCCAUCGACAAGGAUGCAAUGUCCCGCUAAGAGUAAUUUUUGUCGCCGUGGAGAUAAGUUUUGCAUUACCUCUAUUACAGUUGAUCACAAUCAUCCAAUAAGUCCAAGCAAAGCCAGAUUUCUGAGGUGUCAUAAGAAACUUGACUUGCAUGCAAAAAGGACCCUAGAAUUGAAUGAUCAAGCAGGGAUCCGAAUAAAUAAGAAUUUUGGUUCUCUUGUUAUGCAAGCUGGUGGCUAUGAUAAGCUUGAGUAUGGUGAAAAGGAGUGCACGAACUAUUUGCAAGACACAAGAAGGCUGCAGCUUGGUGUCGGAGAUGCACAUGUUGUUUAUCAAUACUUCCUCCGUAUGCAGUCAAAGGAUCCAGACUUUUUUCAUGUUAUGGAUGUGGCGGAGGAUGGACGACUGAGAAAUGUAUUUUGGGCAGAUGCAAGGAGUAGAGCUACAUAUGAAUCUUUCUCGGAUGUCAUCACAUUUGACACCACAUACUUGACAAACAAGUAUAAAAUGCCGUUUGCUCCUUUUGUUGGCGUAAAUCAUCAUGGUGAAUCAGUUUUGUUAGGUUGUGGUCUUUUGUCUAAUGAAGAUGCCGACACUUUUGUCUGGUUAUUUAAAUCAUGGCUAUGUUGUAUGUCAAACAACCCACCAAAUGCUAUAAUCACUGACCAGUGUAAAGCAAUGCAGAAUGCUAUUGAAGAAGUUUUCCCUAUGGCUCGUCAUAGAUGGUGUAUAUGGCAUAUCAUGAAGAAGAUUCCUAAAAAGCUUAGUGGGUAUGAAAAGUAUGACAACAUCAAGUAUACACUGUCAAAUGUGGUUUAUAAUUCCUUGACCAAACAUGAUUUUGAUGAAGCUUGGCUACAUAUGAUCGAGAAAUAUGAUCUCCAGGACAAUGAAUGGCUUGGUGGAUUAUAUGAUGAUAAAAAUCUGUGGGUACCAGCAUAUGUGAAAGAUACUUUUUGGGCAGGUAUGUCUUCAACACAAAGAAGUGAGAGUGUGAAUGCUUUGUUUGAUGGCUAUGUCCAUGCUAGAACAACUCUGAAGCAAUUUGCAAGGCAAUAUGACAAUGCAUUACGAGACAAGGUAGAGAAAGAAAACAAGGCUGAUUCUAAGUCAUUCCAAGAGGUAAUUCCAUGCAUUACUCACUAUGACUUCGAGAGGCAAUUCCAGGCCGCCUAUACCAAUGCAAAAUUUCAAGAGUUUCAAGAGCAAUUGAGAGGUAAAAUAUAUUGCUAUCCAACUUUGUUGUACAAUGAAGAUUCACUUUUUACAUAUAAAGUCAGAGAAGACCGCAAGAUUUUUUAUGAAGGAGAAGAUGGAGAUAUUAAAGAGAAAAGGGUCAUUUCAGAGUUCACUAUCUUAUUCAACCAAGGAGAAUGUGAUGUGAAGUGUGUUUGUCGAUUAUUUGAAUUUCGGGUAUCUUGUGUAGCCACAUCCUUUCCGUGCUUGCUCUGAUGGAGAUUAUAGAAGUACCUUCUAAGUAUAUAUUGCAGCGAUGGAGGAAGGAUUUUAAGCGUAAACACACCUUUAUUAAAUGCUCGUAUGAUGAUAUGUUGAACACACCAGUUGUGCAACGUUAUGAUAAUCUGUGCAAGCGUUCCCGUGAACUGGCAGAAAAUGGGGCCGAGUUUGAUGCAUUGCAUGAUUUGGUGAUAGAUGGCUUAAAUGAGUUACAAAUUAAGAUUGAUAUGUAUCGUACUACCCAGAAAAUUACGGAGGGGGGGCCUAUUGCAAAACAUGAAGAUUCAGUGUUAAACAAAGAAAAAGUUGUACUCGACCCAAUCCCUGUUCGGAGUGUAGGUCGUCCUCCCUCAAAAAGAAAGGUAUCUAAAGUUGAUCAAGUGGUCAAACGAUUAAGAGCAAAGAAGCAGCAGGUACCAAAAGGUACAAAUGGAGUGUCAAGUCAAAAAGGGAGAAAGGUAUCUAAAUCUAGAAUAUUUUUGUAGGAGCUUCUUUCUUCCUCUUAUAACUUGCUGAAGUGUGAGUACUACCUUAUUGCAGAAAGGUAGCAGAAAAUCAAAAGGUGGGCGGGAAAGUAAUCCUCUGUCAUCACAACAAAACGAGGUAAUAUUUCGUACAAUUAUAGUUAAUAUGUUAUACUAGAUUAUUAAUAUACGUGACAAGCAAGAUUACUACUUGUUCUUAUUCCAGGAACUUGAAACAAGUGAACCUACUACAUCAAUUCAUAUCAAGUCGUACAUUGACAUUCUCCAGGUGCUACACUCGUAUUAUCAAAUAUUUUCCAACAUUAUUUGUCAAUAGCUCAUUGUGUUUUUGAACUUUGAAGGGAAAUAAAGAUGUCAUGGAUCUGCUAGAUGCUAAUUCGAACGGAUGAAAGAGACGCACUCUGUAGUACUUCCGAGCCGAUUGGACAGUUUGGCUUAUGGCACUAGAUGCAUAUUUAUUUUGGUUAUUGUAACAAUGGCAUUAUCAUUCAACGCUCUAUGUCACUAUGUUCUGUAGUUCAGAUUCUUAUGCUUUUAGACAGUAAAUUUGCUCUGGUCAAGAUAAAUAUGCUUUUAGACAGUAAAUUUGAUACAAGAGCUUCCAGCAAUCUGUUACUCACCUCUGCCAUUGGAUGUUGCAUCCGGCCACCAUCGCAACUAUGCUGAGCCAGCAAGCUGCCUCCCGCGACGUUGCUCCGAGCAUCCGGGCGGCUGGCGCCCCACCCUCUCUCCUUGUGCCUCUCCUCCUCCUUCCAGAUUUGAGCCAGAAGAAGUAGCGUCCAGGCACUCUGCCAUUGGAGGUUGCAUCCAGCCACCAUCCCAACUAUGCCGAGCGAGCAAGCUGCCUCCCGCGGCGUUGCUUCGAGCAGCCAGGCGGCUGGCGCCACACCCUCUCUCCUUGUGCCUCUCCUCCUCCCAGAUUUGAGCCAGAAGAAGCAGCGUCCAGGCAACUGGCAAAGUAGCAACAAGAAUAGCCGGAAGAAGCUAGAACACUCG